Molecule: ribosomal RNA, 253 nt
Filed under: uncultured bacterium
Lineage: Bacteria
Description: partial 16S ribosomal RNA
Rfam family: Bacterial small subunit ribosomal RNA
Source: RNAcentral
UACGUGGGGGGCAAGCGUUGUUCGGAAUUACUGGGCGUAAAGGGCUCGUAGGUGGCCAACUAAGUCAGACGUGAAAUCCCUCAGCUUAACUGGGGAACUGCGUCUGAUACUGGAUGGCUUGAGAUUGGGAGAGGGAUGCGGAAUUCCAGGUGUAGCGGUGAAAUGCGUAGAUAUCUGGAGGAACACCGGUGGCGAAGGCGGCAUCCUGGACCAACACUGACACUGAGGAGCGAAAGCCAGGGGAGCAAACGGG